Molecule: ribosomal RNA, 402 nt
Filed under: uncultured bacterium
Lineage: Bacteria
Description: bacterial SSU rRNA
Rfam family: Bacterial small subunit ribosomal RNA
Source: RNAcentral
UGGGGAAUAUUGCACAAUGGGGGAAACCCUGAUGCAGCAACGCCGCGUGAGUGAUGACGGCCUUCGGGUUGUAAAGCUCUGUCUUCAGGGACGAUAAUGACGGUACCUGAGGAGGAAGCCACGGCUAACUACGUGCCAGCAGCCGCGGUAAUACGUAGGUGGCAAGCGUUGUCCGGAUUUACUGGGCGUAAAGGGAGCGUAGGCGGACUUUUAAGUGAGAUGUGAAAUACCCGGGCUCAACCUGGGUGCUGCAUUUCAAACUGGAAGUCUAGAGUGCAGGAGAGGAGAGUGGAAUUCCUAGUGUAGCGGUGAAAUGCGUAGAGAUUAGGAAGAACACCAGUGGCGAAGGCGACUCUCUGGACUGUAACUGACGCUGAGGCUCGAAAGCGUGGGAAGCAAACA